RNAcentral lists this long non-coding RNA (247 nucleotides) under Bos taurus (domestic cattle). RNAcentral's name for it is "long non-coding RNA NONBTAT020545". Lineage: Eukaryota; Metazoa; Chordata; Mammalia; Artiodactyla; Bovidae. The record is from RNAcentral.
UCCCAUAGUAAUCUAUUACUUGUCCUCAUUCACAUUUCCAUGAUUGGCUCCAAAUGUCUUUACAGAUUAAUACCUCAUUUGGUUCAGUUCAGAAUCUAAGCAGGGUCCACACGUUUGCAUCUGAUUGAUGUGUAUCUUUAGGUUACUUUUUUAUUCUCUUUCCUCAUGUUGUUUCUUAUAUGAGUAGCUUUCUCAGGAGCAGAAAACCUUUCCAGGCUACUUUCUUUCCUUUCAUAAUUUUACUUCU